UACGUAGGGGGCGAGCGUUGUCCGGAGUUACUGGGCGUAAAGGGCAUGCAGGCGGUCUGGCGCGUUUUGUGUGACAGCGGGGGGCUCAACUCCCCGAGCAUGCGAAAGACGGUUGGACUUGGGGGCUCGAGAGGGACACGGAAUUCCGGGUGGAGUGGUGAAAUGCGUAGAGAUCCGGAGGAACACCGAAGGCGAAGGCAGUGUCCUGGCGAGUGACUGACGCUGAGGUGCGAAAGCGUGGGGAGCGAACAGG
Molecule: ribosomal RNA, 253 nt
Filed under: uncultured bacterium
Lineage: Bacteria
Description: partial 16S ribosomal RNA
Rfam family: Bacterial small subunit ribosomal RNA
Source: RNAcentral